UAGGGAAUAUUGCGCAAUGGACGAAAGUCUGACGCAGCGACGCCGCGUGAGUGAUGAAGGCCUUAGGGUCGUAAAGCUCUGUUGAAUGGGAAGAAAAAAUGACGGUACCAUUCGAGGAAGGACCGGCUAACUUCGUGCCAGCAGCCGCGGUAAUACGAGGGGUCCUAGCGUUGUUCGGAAUCAUUGAGCGUAAAGGGUGUGUAGGUGGCUAAGUAAGUCAGGUGUGAAAGCCCCGGGCUCAACCCGGGAAGUGCAUCUGAUACUGCGUAGCUUGAGUACCGAAGAGGAUAGUGGAAUUCCAGGUGUAGUGGUGAAAUACGUAGAUAUCUGGAGGAACACCGGUGGCGAAGGCGGCUAUCUGGUCGAGUACUGACACUGAGACACGAAAGCAUGGGGAUCAAACAGGAUUAGAUACCCCCGUAGUCCCUGAGCGGGCUGGCAAGGCGCAU
RNAcentral lists this ribosomal RNA (449 nucleotides) under uncultured bacterium. RNAcentral's name for it is "bacterial SSU rRNA". It matches the Rfam family "Bacterial small subunit ribosomal RNA", at positions 355 to 825 of the family's 1533-position model. The record is from RNAcentral.